This 403-nucleotide ribosomal RNA is filed under the name Verrucomicrobiota bacterium. RNAcentral's name for it is "Verrucomicrobia bacterium partial 16S ribosomal RNA". It matches the Rfam family "Bacterial small subunit ribosomal RNA", at positions 355 to 776 of the family's 1533-position model. Lineage: Bacteria; Pseudomonadati; Verrucomicrobiota. The record is from RNAcentral.
UGGGGAAUAUUGCACAAUGGGGGAAACCCUGAUGCAGCGACGCCGCGUGAGCGAAGAAGGCUUUCGAGUCGUAAAGCUCUGUCCUAUGAGAAGAUAAUGACGGUAUCAUAGGAGGAAGCCCUGGCUAAAUACGUGCCAGCAGCCGCGGUAAUACGUAUGGGGCGAGCGUUGUCCGGAAUUAUUGGGCGUAAAGGGUACGUAGGUGGUUUUUUAAGUCAGGUGUCAAAGCGUGGAGCUUAACUCCAUUAAGCACUUGAAACUGAAAGACUUGAGUGAAGGAGAGGAAAGUGGAAUUCCUAGUGUAGCGGUGAAAUGCGUAGAUAUUAGGAAGAAUACCGGUGGCGAAGGCGACUUGCUGGACACAAACUGACGCUGAGGAACGAAAGCGUGGGUAGCAAACAGG